GAUGGCAUUGUGUUCUGCAUGGCUGAGGUAAUGGGGAAGUGAUGCUGCUUUUCCAAAAUUUCAGCUCAUGCAUGUCUACAGAAGCACUGUAUGUAGAAGUCCAGUCUGUUGUUUCGACCUUCAGGAGGAGUCCACACAAAGAAGAGUGUAUGGCAGCCUGUUUUAUCCCACAAUUACAUCAAGGCAUCUCAUGUGUUCUCUUGUGGCUGUAUCAUCCACUCUGCGAAGAGCAAGGUCGUGAACAGAUGUAACAUAGGACUGUAUCGGCUUCCAUGGAAGACUUCGAAUGAUGUUUGGCCUUUUUUUCAAUCAGUUUUUUGUGCCUGUGUUUCUCAAAAUGUUCACAGCCUAUAUUGAUAGUUGCUCUCCAUUUAGGUCUGUCCUUGGCUGUGUCUUCGCAGUUGUCAGUAUUUAUGCCACACGAGCAGAGAUUCUGCUUAUGGUUGUCUUUGAAGCAUUUAUUUUGUCCACUGCACCUUUUGAGUUUCAGCUCACCAUAGAGGACUUUUCUGGGGAUUCUGUCAUCACCCGUUCUGAUAACAUGACCUGUCUUUCUAAGAUGAGCUUUGAUAAUCAGUGCCUCAAGGUUGGUUCUUUUUGCUCUUUCAAGGAUGUUAAUGUUUGACACCCUGUAUUGACAGUAGACUUUCAGGAUAGAGCAAAGACAGAACGUGAAAUUUUUCCAGUUGCUUGAUGUACCUGUGGUUAACUGUUUACGUUUCAACCUGUAUAAAAGGGAUGCUAUCACCACUGGAUUUUAUAUCAUCAGUUUUGUUGACAAUUAGAUGGUAUGCUGGUUGAGUAUCCUAUGGCAAAGUCUUCCAAAAGCCUGUCCUGCCUUUCUUAUUCUGAGUGACAUUUUUGAUCUAAGGAACCAUCACUUGAGAUGGUGCUGCCAAGUAUGUAAAGUGAUUGACAUUCUUUAGUUUUGUACCAACAGUGGUGAUGUUUGGCAUGGUGGUGGUGGUUAACAGAGGACUUCAGUUUUUUCCAGCUUGAUGAUUUGAUACUGCCUUUUACAGAGAAGAGACAUACACACUGUGCUCGCCUACAGAAAGUUAUCUCGUUAUUGUUUACCUUCAUCUCAAGUAAGUCAUUUUAGAUUGAAAGGAUACUAUUAGUCCUUUGUGAAUGGAAAAGAAUAAAUGGAAUGGGAGCAGAGAGAAAGAAAAGGUAGAAAGUACGGGAGGAAGGAGAGAUGAAGGAAAAGCGGGGGGAGAAAGAGGUGUUACUUUCCUCUCUCAUCUUUCAUCUCUUUUAUUUCCUUUCCCCCUUCCCUUUUCCUUAAUCAUAUUUCACCUUCUAUUUUCACCUUCCUUAUAACCAUAUAUAAUAGAUUGGCUAAGUUUUUCCCUCUCUUUAUUCUUAUCCAUCCCUUCUCAUUCUGUCUCAUUUUCCUUUUCUUACCCUCUUCUGCCUUCUCAUUUAUCACACCUUAUUAGCUGUAUUUAUUCUUCUAUACAUAUAUGUCAAUAAUGUUUAAUUAAUCUUCCUGCAGUAUCCACUGCUUCUGUCAGUCCAGUAAUCUGAUUAUUCCCAAUCAAUGGAUUCAUAAAGCAGUACUAGUAAUUCAUGCUGUGCCACUAAUACUAAAUUGACUGUUCUCCCAUCAUCUGGUAGUUCACGCCAAUAUCAUAUCUGUACGUUACUGAAGUGUAUAACUUGUAUCAGUGUGUCCAUCAGAAACAUACAAUUUGACUAUACUGGAUGUUUGGAUAGAUAAAAAAUUUGGACUGAUGAAAUUGGGAUAAGAGUAAAAGAGGUGAAAUGAAAAAAAGUGAAAUUUUAUGAGAAUGCAUCAAUAGUUUGGCCUGUAUUUUCAAAGGUACUCAACACCCACAUCUCUCACUGGCUUCAAUUGGAUUUGUAGAUACUCAGCAGCUUUGAAAAUCAGACGAUAAAACAUAGAUGUGGAAUGGAUACUCUAUACUUAUAUCAUACUCCCUUGAGCUUCAUAUCCUGGAGUCAAUGAGCGAAAAAGUUAAAGAAAACCACUGGAAUUCUGUACCCAUUCUAAUUUUGAAAUCCAUUAAUCAGAGAUAAUAUUUUCCAACUGAGAACAUGUAAGAUGUAAUCUCAACAGAAUACAUAUAAGGGGCCAAUCUCCUCUUAAUACCUGCAGAGUUGUCUGCUGAGUUCUCUAUACAUUUAGAUAAGAUAAUACUCUACAGUACCUGUAAAUAGCACACAGAAUAAAUUUGCUGAAAUAGCAGAGAAUAAAUGUUGAAAGGAGCAUCUGCCUCCCUCCAUUAUAGAAACUAUAUUGAUAAAGCCCCCCCCAAAAUAAUUUGAAAAUUGACUCCUGUUUGAAAAUCCAAAAAGCACUAGAGUGAUCAGAUUGGGAGUUGAGCAACAUCAGUUCUAUUCCCAUGUUUGACAUGUCCCACCAUGUGACCCUGGUUGAAUUGGUUAACCUUUCUGUCCCUUGUUGUCCUCACCUGAAAACUGGGAAUAAUAAUACUUUUCCAAAGUGCUUUGACUUCCAUGGCUGAAAAUUGCCAUAUAAGUGCUGAAAACAUAUUACUAUUGUUUUGUUAUUUAUUAUGUUACAUACUCUAGCUGGUGAAAGCCAGAGUUGUUGUAACC
Long non-coding RNA from Mauremys reevesii (Reeves's turtle), 2586 nucleotides. RefSeq lists it as uncharacterized. The record is from RefSeq and is a predicted model, not a curated record. NCBI's taxonomy places the organism in Eukaryota, Metazoa, Chordata, Testudines, Geoemydidae. The transcript is spliced from 3 exons.